This is a long non-coding RNA of Aplysia californica (California sea hare), 1017 nucleotides long. RefSeq lists it as uncharacterized. The transcript is spliced from 2 exons. NCBI's taxonomy places the organism in Eukaryota, Metazoa, Mollusca, Gastropoda, Aplysiida, Aplysiidae. The record is from RefSeq and is a predicted model, not a curated record.
GUGCGUGAAAAGCAAAACAGAACCCCACCACGUAGUUCAUGGACUGCUAGGCCUAGGCCUAGGCCUAUUUGACCCAUUUUGUGUUGUGGCUACGAAAACAGAAUCUAAUCUUGUGCAUCUUGUCUCUGAAGCGAAUACGUGGCCAUAUUUUUGGAAAUUCUAAUUCUCAUUGUAACCUGUACACUGCAGUGUUGUGAUUUUAGUAUCUCCAAGAAGUACUGUAAUAGUUUUGAAUCAUCAAUCAUGGCUUCUAGUGGAGACGAUAAGUAUCUUGAUGAAUUUGACAAAUACAACAUCGAGCAGGGCAAGUACGAGAACCAUGCCCACAGUGGCAAGGGCCGGUCGAAAAAGGAAGCAGAACAACAUCAUCACGAAGACCCAAGUGGUCACACGAGGAAGGAUGUUCAAAAGUUGGUAAACAACGCGCACAAGCAAGCAGAUGAAAAUAAAAAGAAAGCUAACUGACUUCAUGGAGCAUCUGAAAAGCACCUCUGUUCCUUUGUGCAACGAUGGUGAUUAUUUGUUGACAUACGAUGGAAUAUAAUGGACUAGGAGUAAAGACAAACGACUGAUUUCUCACCGACAGCAGCUUUGGAGCGUCUCAGAACUUCAGAGGUUGCUGGGUGAGGUUGACAAGAGUGUAGACCACCUUGGAUGACUCCUGAUGUGGUACAUUCCAGUCUGAGCCAGCACAAUAGAACAUUGAACGUUGUGAACAUUAUUAAUUCUGUGCUUUCUUUUUAAGUUAAUAGCUGAGAUUGUGAAACUGGUGGUGGUGUUUUUUAUCAUGUAUGGUUGUCAGUAUGCUGUGACAUACGGGUAGGGUUCAUGUAAGUUUUUGCUUGUUUGUGAGUCAUGUUUAGAAUCGUUGAAACAAGAAAAAAAGAAAAAGUCGAUCUCAGUGCAUUGAUUUUGGUUAAUGAAAUCCUGGUCAUUUUGAGAAAUUGUUGUACUUACAUUGUUUAAUGUUAUUUUCUUAUUUCAUACGAAAUAAAAAAAAGUGUGGAAUAUUAAAAA